Molecule: ribosomal RNA, 255 nt
Filed under: uncultured bacterium
Lineage: Bacteria
Description: partial 16S ribosomal RNA
Rfam family: Bacterial small subunit ribosomal RNA
Source: RNAcentral
UACGUAGGUGGCAAGCGUUGUCCGGAUUUACGUGGCGUAAAGAGCGCGCAGGCGGUCAUUCAAGUCGCGUGUGAAAGCCCCCCGGCUCAACUGGGGAGGGUCACGCGAUACUGAUCGACUCGAAGGCAGGAGAGGGUAGUGGAAUUCCCGGUGUAGUGGUGAAAUGCGUAGAUAUCGGGAGGAACACCAGUGGCGAAGGCGACUACCUGGCCUGUUCUUGACGCUGAGGCGCGAAAGCUAGGGGAGCAAACGGGG